RNAcentral lists this ribosomal RNA (481 nucleotides) under uncultured bacterium. RNAcentral's name for it is "partial 16S ribosomal RNA". It matches the Rfam family "Bacterial small subunit ribosomal RNA", at positions 29 to 507 of the family's 1533-position model. The record is from RNAcentral.
UAUUAACUCUGGCGGCGUGCUUAACACAUGCAAGUCGAACGAAGCACUUUAUUUGAUUUCCUUCGGGACUGAUUAUUUUGUGACUGAGUGGCGGACGGGUGAGUAACGCGUGGGUAACCUGCCUUGUACAGGGGGAUAACAGUUGGAAACGGCUGCUAAUACCGCAUAAGCGCACAGCAUCGCAUGAUGCAGUGUGAAAAACUCCGGUGGUAUAAGAUGGACCCGCGUUGGAUUAGCUAGUUGGUGAGGUAACGGCCCACCAAGGCGACGAUCCAUAGCCGACCUGAGAGGGUGACCGGCCACAUUGGGACUGAGACACGGCCCAAACUCCUACGGGAGGCAGCAGUGGGGAAUAUUGCACAAUGGGCGAAAGCCUGAUGCAGCGACGCCGCGUGAGCGAAGAAGUAUUUCGGUAUGUAAAGCUCUAUCAGCAGGGAAGAUAAUGACGGUACCUGACUAAGAAGCACCGGCUAAAUACGUG